Nicotiana tabacum (common tobacco) is the source of this 293-nucleotide long non-coding RNA. RefSeq lists it as uncharacterized. NCBI's taxonomy places the organism in Eukaryota, Viridiplantae, Streptophyta, Magnoliopsida, Solanales, Solanaceae. The record is from RefSeq and is a predicted model, not a curated record.
UACCACAACAGACUCUAGAAGCACCCUUCAAUCUUUCUCAUUCCGCGAAAAAACAGACGCGAGAUGACUCUUUUAUUCUAACUAUCUUCAUUAGUUUAUGCUACCCUUUCACUUCUCUUCAUCUUCUCAAUUGGGUCUAACUAACUUUGGUCGUCUUAAUCAUAAUCAGACGCACUAUCAAUUCAUUUUAGGUUUUCUCUCAAAGUUUGAUUAUGUAAUUAUGAAGUAUAUUGUGUGUUCACAUAAGUUGUUUUGUUUGUGAUAUAUGCCAAUGAAAUUUAUUUUAUAUUUUA